Molecule: non-coding RNA, 9532 nt
Organism: Procambarus clarkii (red swamp crayfish)
Lineage: Eukaryota; Metazoa; Arthropoda; Malacostraca; Decapoda; Cambaridae
Source: RefSeq, a predicted model, not a curated record
UGUCCUCCACGACGACACUGAGAAGCCUGGCUGGCCUCAGUGUUGCUCGUGAGCCCAGUGAGUGAGGGUAUAGUCAGCCUUCCCGAUUUUCCUUUUGUGUUACACAGCGCGCGCGACCUUCAAUUUUAAUCCUGACACCGGUUUAGAGCCCGAGCGCAAGUGGUGAUCCUUGGAGCUGAACCUUGAGGAAGGACGACGACUACGGUUCAGUAUGCAUGGAUGGAGUGAUGUUGCGUAAGGAUGAACGGUACAUCGGGCGGCGGCGGCGGUGGGUACGGUGAUGAAGGCGCCCAUGCCUACGCCCAGGGUCAUGGCGGCGUGGGCGGGACCUCGGGGGUGGGCGGUGGGGGACGGCGGAUUCACACCCGCAGCGUCUCCCACGGCGGCAUCAUGAUCAGCAGGGAGCCGCCUAUAUUUGACCAAGGCGGCACGCUUCCCCAAGGCAUUGGUGGCGCCAUGGGGCACCAGCGGACCUUCUCCCACGGGCAGCUGAUGGAGGGCGGGCGGGGUCACAAGCGAAUGGGAUCCAAGACUGACUUCAUCCUGCCGGCGGGUCACGAGGAGCGGGAGCGUGAGAGAGAACAGCAACAGCAGAUAAAGAAGACACUCUCCAGGACCUCGUCUUUCCCGAAAGGCCACGCCCGGCAGGCCUCCCGCUCGGAGUCCAUCUACACAAUCAGACAGAACAAGCGCACACUCCUGCAGAAGAUCCUCUUCUGGAAGAAGGUGCCAGAGGAGAGCCGGACGCGUAUGGUAGUGCCCAACCACGUGGUGCCUCCCCACGUGUCGGCGGGCCAGCACCCCAACGGCGCCUACCCCGACAACAGCAUCUGCACCACCAAGUACACAGUCCUCUCCUUCCUCCCCAAGAACCUCUUCGAGCAGUUCCACAGAUUCGCCAACUUGUACUUUUUAUUCAUCGUUCUGCUGAAUUUCGUGCCGGCCGUGAACGCCUUCGGGAAGGAGGUGGCGAUGAUGCCGCUCUUGUUCGUACUGGGCAUCACGGCCAUCAAGGACGCCUUCGAGGAUCACCGCAGGUACCUCUCAGACAGUCGGGUCAACAACGCCACCUGCAGAGUCUACAACAGAGACCAGGGCAGAUACGUUAAAAAGAAGUGGAAACAUGUUCGCGUUGGAGACAUUAUUCACCUCUCGUGCAACGAGAUCAUCCCGGCUGACCUGGUGGUUCUUAAUUCAUCAGACGAGUAUGGUCUAUGCUUCAUUGAAUCUUCCAACUUAGAUGGAGAGAGCAAUCUUAAGCAAAGACAAAGCGUUAAAGGCCUUGGCAUGGAUGACAAGUUUGAGGUUGCCAAAUUUGAUUAUCUGAUGGAAAUUGGUGCCCCAUCCACCAAGAUUUACCACUUCUCUGGAACGAUUCCACUUCAGACUGGGGAACGUGUACCUCUAACAAAAGACAAUCUUUUGCUUAGAGACUGUGCUCUCAGGAACACUGAUUACAUUGAAGGAAUUGUUGUUUAUGCUGGUCGUGAAACCAAGGCCAUGCUGAAUAAUGGAGGUACCAGAUACAAGCGCUCCAAAUUAGAGAGGAGGAUGAACGUGGAGGUCAUUUGGUGUGUGGUGAUCCUGUUUGUCAUGUGCGUUAUCUCUGCUACUGGAUCUGGUCUCUGGCAGAAUUAUCACGAGCUGAAUGCCACCUCAGGGUUGGUGCCAUUCAUUCCUCCGAGUGUGCUGGGGGCAGCACUGAAGACUCGUGAGCUCUCUAACAACCCGGUCUGGGUUGGUUUUAUUAGCUUUUGGACUUUUGUAAUUAUUUAUCAGGUUAUUAUACCAAUAUCAUUGUAUGUUACGAUUGAAGUGAUAAAGUUGAUGCAAGUUUAUCAUAUACACUGUGACAAGGACUUUAAAGAUAAGAAGAGUGGCAAAACUAUAGAAUGUCGAGCACUUAACAUUCCCGAGGAGUUAGGUCAAGUAGAGUACGUAUUUACCGACAAGACAGGAACGCUCACAGAAAACAACAUGGUCUUCCAGCGCUGCUCUAUCAAUGGUACUGAUUAUGCCCACACAGCUGUUAUUAACAAGAAUCAGAGCUGUGAUCAAAGAGACACCUUCACCUUGAACAAUCAGCUGCAGGAGGAACUUGCUUCCAUUGAGCUUCCAUUGAUAUAUGCUCAGCCUGGUAGACAGAAUUCAACUGCUCUCAGCCCUCCAAAGGAUUCACCUUCUGAGAGAAUCAUGGAUUUUUUUUUUACUCUUGCAGCAUGCAACACUGUCAUUGUUGCAAAGUAUCCUCAUCGAGAUGCGAUGAAUGCAAGUGGUAUGAUUGUGCCAAAUGAAAGUGCCAAUAGUUCAAGUAUCACCGAUCCAGAAAAUUCCAGCAACACCACCACUACAACUAAUAUUAGUUCCAGUUCAUGGGGACCCAAUCGUGUGUUGCGUAGUUUCCUACCGUUCUCUCGUCCACUUUCUCCCAUAGCCUCUUCCCCUCGUAACACACCUCCACGUACCCCAGAGGCAUUGCCACGAUAUGCAGCUCCACUCGGCCUUACACCAAGUCAUGAUCAAUCGUGCUCAUCUGUAAGCAUAAUACUGAACCCCAUCAACGAAUCAAGCACUAUGGAGGAUGUCCAAGUGUCGUAUGACCUUAAAGAUCAACCCAAUUCCUCUCCAUUGCGACCAUCACUCCUAAACAUCCAAUCGGCACAAACUUAUAAUGCUAAUUUAUCGAGAGAUUCACGUUCACCAACACCAUCGCCUAUGGAUAUUAAGCCCAUCUAUGAAGCGGAGAGCCCAGACGAGUUAGCACUAGUGGAUGCAGCAUACAAAUAUGGAUUUCGCUUGCUAAGAAGAUCCUUGCACAAUAUUUUAAUUUCACUGCCAGGUUAUGGAUUGUGUGAAUAUGAUGUCCUUCAUGUGUUGCCGUUCGAUUCCAAUCGAAAGAGGAUGUCUAUAAUUGUUCGCCAUCCUGAAACUCAGGAAAAAAUUCUGUACUGUAAAGGUGCCGAUUCUGCAAUACUAGAGAAUUUAAGUAGAUCAGUAGAUGAUAAAACAAAGUUUAGAAUAUUUCGUACAGAGCAACAUUUAAAUGGGUACUCCAAAAAGGGCCUGCGUGUUUUGUGCAUGGCCAAACGAAUUUUAACAGAUCCAGAAUAUGAAGACUGGGCAAUGAAGCACAAAGAUGCUGAGAACUCUCUCUCGGGUAGAGAACAUAAACUAGAAGAUUCCUACAAUAGGAUUGAAAAAAAUAUGAAAUUAAUAGGUGCUACUGGCAUAGAGGACAGAUUGCAAGAUGGUGUUCCAGAGACGAUUCAAGCCUUGAGAAAUGCAGGCAUUGUGGUAUGGGUGCUCACAGGGGAUAAGCAAGAAACUGCCAUCAAUAUUGCAUAUUCUUGUGCACUCUUUGUGCCAAAUAUGGAGAUCUUGAAGUUAAAUGCCCGCACAAAAGACCAAGCCGAACGAACUAUACAGUUCUAUCUGCAGCAAAUAGAACAGCAGGAAGAAGUUUGGCAACAUGCUGUGAUGCAGGGAGCUGCUGGUGCUACUCAGGGUGCUGCUGUGUCAAAUGGUGUAACAUCAGUGUCAUCCUCUGUCCACAAUAAUGGCCACAGACAAAGUGGACCACCAAAGCAAAGAGGUCUUGUGGUGGAUGGCAGAACGCUUGUAUAUAUUCUUGACCGACGAGCAAAUCUGAAGAAAGCCUUCCUUACUCUUGCUGGGAAGUGCGGUGCAGUAUUAUGUUGCAGAGCUACGCCCCUGCAGAAAUCUCUCAUUGUUCGCAGUGCCAAAGAUAGCCUGAAAGUUCUUACUCUUGCUGUUGGUGAUGGUGCAAAUGAUGUCUCAAUGAUUCAAACUGCAGAUGUGGGUAUUGGUAUCUCGGGAGUGGAGGGCAGACAAGCAGUAAUGGCAUCGGAUUAUGCUAUUGCACGCUUUCGCCACCUAGAAAAAUUACUGCUAGUCCAUGGUCAUUGGUGCUAUGAUCGUCUAUCCCGUAUUAUUUUAUAUUUUUUCUACAAGAAUGCUUCUUUUGUGCUGAUAUUGAUGUGCUACCAGUUAUACAAUGGCUUCAGUGGCAGCAGCAUGAUAGAUCAGAUGUACCUGAUGGUGUUUAACCUUCUUUUCACUUCCAUACCUCCUGUAUUAGUUGGCAUCUAUGACAAGGAUGCACCAGAAGAAGUACUCCUUGCCCACCCUCGGUUAUAUGCCCAGGGGCGUGAAGGUCGCCUGUAUAAACCUCACUCCUACUGGGUCAACAUCUUGGAUGCUGUUUACCAGGCCAUUAUUCUCUUCUUCUUUGCUGCCGUCCUCCAUGAGGAUUCCAAUGCUGGGAUGUUCCAGUUUGGCCUAACAGUUACACAUGCUUGUCUUAUUGCACAAUCAUUACAUAUUGCUAUUGAAACCAAAUCAUGGACUGUGAUACAUGUAUUUGGAUUGGUAAUGUCGUUCGUACUGUUCUACGUGUUUAGUGCGAUAUACACCAUGAGCUGUGCGGCCUGUCUAAGCGAGCCUAGUCAGUAUGGCGAGCUGGCAUAUGCAUUAGGCUCUCCUAUCCAUUGGCUCACUGUUAUACUUACUGCUACACUAGCAGUCUUGCCAAGGUUUGUCGUUCGUGCAGUUAAGUGUACUCUGAAUCCUGAUGAUGUUACACAAGCCCUAAUAGAUUACCGAGGAUCAAACCCUAAAGAUUUUAUGGUGUCCUGGUCAAGAUCAACAUCAACUUCCUCUGUAUACAGGCGCCGAGAUCCUGACAUCUAAUAUAUUUCUUCAGUCAUUUAGAAGACAAUGCUAAUUCAUACUUGCUUAAUCCUGCAAUGAUUUAGAAUGAAAGUUCACAUUUAUUGGUGAAAAUAUAAAUCAUUUUGCUCAAGGGAUUAAGAAGUUGGAUUUUUUUGUUUUAAGUAGGAUAGAAUAAUCUGUAUAUAAAACUGUCUAGUCUUGGCAUUGUGUGUUCUGCUCAUGCAAGUCAUCCAACACAAAUGAGUACCAGUGGAUUAGCAUUGUCUUCCCUGGCCCCACUGAAUUCUCUCCUGGCACUGAAGGACUUGAAACCAGACCGAACUGCGUCGAGGAAACUGGUGAAGAAGCAUCGGAGCCUUUUAGCUCUCUCGUUACCACCACUACAGUCAUCACCACUACUGAUGAAGCAGAAGUUUAAUCUAGAGAAUUUUACAAAGUGCAGCAGAAUGUUAUGAAAUAGUUUUUUUUUUAAUCAGUAGAUAGUGCAGGAAGUUUACAUGCUUGAAACAAUGGCAGAAAUGUCUGUUCAACAGAAGUGUUAGUUUUACAAACUUUCAUGACUGGAUUAUGACGUGGUUAAUUACUUACUGGUGGUUGACCUAAUAUCAGAUAUGCAUAGACCCACACCCUGUGCUGUGAGUGUUACUGAUGAAAAGCAAUGCAGUAUAUGAAAGUCUGUUGGUAAUAUGUUCAAACUUCUGAAAAAAGUGAUAGACAGAGGCCCUUGUGAGGUCAAUCAUACUAUCGAUAGUUUCAUGUUUUGUCAAAUACCUCAGGAGUAUUGGGUCGUUUUGCAAUAUGUAAAGUAUUCCUGACAAUUAGUGAUAUAGUACAUAUUUGAAUAUGGCAUAUUGCUCAUGACUUAUUUCAUUCGUACACGUUCCUCAUUAAUUUUGUGCUGUGGGUGUAUAGGAAGCAUCCUAUUUGCCAUGGUUCUCAAAUGGUAUUUUAUUCUGGAAGUAGGCACACGAAAUUGCAACUUAAUUAGAUGAAGGGUAUUUUAAUUAAUCUUUGAAUUAUUUGCUAACAAUUUUAGACAAUUUUAAUUUUCAUGUGAUAUUAAUCAGCAGAUAUUAUUUUUUGUUGAAAUGUAUUGCACAUCAGAUAUUGUAAAUAAGGCGCCACACUUUGUAAUAUAAUUUUCCCCUCACACUUACAAUUUUAGCUUUAUAAUUAAACAUUCUUUUUAAUUAAAAUUUUAGCUGUAUUAUGCAGUAUAUAUUUUUAAACGGUAUCAAAGGUAUCGAAUAUUAAAAUUUAUAUACAGUUGUUAGUCAUUUGUUUAGGUAAGAACUUGUACAUUCCAUUAGUUUAAUGUUCAUGGAACCUAACAUCUCCAUGCUAGAGACAAAAAACACAUUACAAAGUAGGAUUUACCUACUGCUCUAGAGAAUUUUGAAUGUGUGCCUUUGUAUUUUUUGUCAGUGCUUCCAUACUUGUGCAUGGGAGGUGGUUUUAGCUGGACUUUAAUUUAGAAAUAUCCAGAGUUUACUUAUUGUGAAAGCUGACAUUUGCAGUCAGAUUAGUGAUACACUUCAUGGCUGUGUUAUAGAGUUAAUGAAUAAUUGAAAGUGAAGCUAUCUAUGACAGGGUUUCUCUUCUUACAUAGCACAAACAAAACCAUUAUGUACCCAGAUACAGUAUUCAGUUAGAUUAUUUACUUGAUGCAAGAUAUCCUUUCACCAAAUAUAUAUUUGGCCCAUCAUAGAGAAGCUUAAUAAUUGCAAUUCUUAAAUAAUUAUUGAAUGAUGUCUGGGAAAAACCAAUCAAAUUUUAUUCGGCUGAAUUUUGACAUGGGAAGGGGUUUAUGUAUGAAGUGAUACCUUGCCUCAUUAAUGCAGUGUUGCCCACCCUGUAUGUAAAUAUGCCCCUUUUAUUUAAUCAUUAGUAUUUUCUGGCUCCUGAUGCCACAAAAGUUCUUCUACACUAUAUAUUAAUCAAUCAAGCUUCCAUAAAUUUUAAAUCGGUUUUGCUAGAAUUGAUAAAUUACUACUAGAACCAUUGUACAGUGUUUAUUCGUAACGGAUGGAGUAAUGUUGAGAGGUAGGGUAGCAGAGGAAGCCCUGGUUUCGUGAUACUGAGCUGCUAUAUCCUGUAUUCACAGGAAGCUGGUGCUUGCCAAAUCUUCCCAAAGCAUUUUGGUUACAUUAUCUCCAUUCCUUGUAUUAAAGACUGCAUUUUAUUAUUUCAUUUAAGAUAUUUAAUUUUUUUUAAAUAAGAAUCAUUUUGGUUACAAUGGUGUAAAAUGACAAAUAUUUAAGAGUAUGGAAGGUGCAGAAAAGACGUGUAGACUUGAAAUACAGUACUGUAUUAAUAUUAAUAAAAACUGAUAAUUUUAUUUAAUAUUUUGAUAUCAGUGGUGUGAUUUAAAUCUCAAGAUUUAUGAGUAAAGGAUGACCAUACUUUCCUAGUUGCUGUCAUGCAUAUGCAAGCCUAAGAAAACUUGACACUAUAUAUAUCCAUGUUUAAGAGGGAAAGAUGCUUGGAUAUUUUAAUGCCAAUACCGAUUUGUUAUCUGAACAGAAACCAUUGAUGAACUAUCAGCUGCAUUAGUGAACAAUGUAAGCAUAAAAUGAAAGGUGCCAAACUUUGAUCUCGGGCAAAUUUUAACAUUUCUUUUAAAACCAAUGAUAAUAUCUGGUAAUUUAGUGAUGGAUGAUUACUUGUAGAUGUUACACCACAAAUAUGCUACACACUCUUUUUAACUUUAAACAGAUUUAUAAAUAUUUUGUAUUGCAUUCUUGAUGCAGCUUUUGCUAUUUGAACACUUCCAAAACAUUGAUGUUUAAUUUCAUAUUUUCCAACACAGUACAUGGAGUCAUUUUAAUCAAGGGGUUUGGACUUUAUUUACCGACUUACCCAUUCACAAAUUUUCUGGUCGUAUUAUUUCAGUAGUGAUGAUUUAAAAUGGGAUAAAAUAUAUGUACAGUUGAUAUUAUUAAUGUUGGUUUGUUUAGAUCAUUGAUGGGAUGUAUUAUUUUAUGCUCUGGAAAUUAAAACUGUAUGCUCAAGUUAAUGGGACCAAAAUGUUUGAGGACCCACCAUAGAUGGCAAGUGCCAAAGGAAGGAAAAAAUACAUAAAUAUUCGUUUGUUCAAAGUGUGCAAGUGCAACAGAAGGUUCCUUUAUCAUGGUCAUUUAUGAUCUGAAGGUAAUGCUCUGUGACCUUUGUCACAGGUCAAAUAAUUGUCUGGUUUUCAAAUUAUCUGCUGAAAUUUAUGGAAAUAGUUAAUCAUUUACCCUCCAGAUUAAUUUUUUCAUGGUGUCAUGAUAGUUGAUGCUGUUAAGAUACUUAAUUGACCUGUAAUAACUACUCAAAAAGACACAAGUGAUGGAAGACGAUCUGCACAAGAUGUCAAGGAAAUGCAUUAUCUGCCCCCUCUCUUCUGUGGCUAUGGGCCUGCACAACACUAGCAAAGGUGGUAUGUACCUACAUACACUUGUACACUAGAAACACUUGCCUAAAUUUUUCAGUAUUGGUUAGCUUUCAUAAUUGUUGAAUAUUGUCCGUAUAAAUUAAUCUCUAGUUUAUAGUGUGGGCAUUAUCUGAAAGUAAUUUUUUUCAAAUUUGUUUUAUUUUGCCCACAUUUUCUUUUGGGCGAGGGGCCAAAAUGUUUAUCAAUUGUCUUGUGUAAUUGCCAUAUAUGGGCAUUAUUGCCUCUACUGUGCUUGUGCCAAAAGUAUAGAUGUUCUUGCUAAUUUAAAUCAGUUUGUUCCAGAAUUAUUGGUGUAUUAACAUUUCUUAAGUCAGAUGAUAUGCUAAGCUUACUAAUUAUAUAUUUGAAAACAGCUUAUUUAAUGUGUAAUGCAAUAAUUUGUCAAUGUCAAAACAUAAUGAUUUUAUUGCACUUAAAAUUGGUUACUUUAAUUGUUGAAAAUAUUAUGGCAUAAGGCAGUUUAUCAUGCUCAUGCCAGCAAUGGUUGUGUAAUAAGUGGUCUGGGUCCAGUGCUCAUGUUCACCAUAUAAAAUUGAACCAGCAUAAGCAUAGAUUUUCUUAUUUGAAUGGUUAUGAAUUAGUCCUGUAUAUACUGCAUUUAUCAGGAAUGCAUAGUGGUCUCCAUACUUGUAUCAGAAACACAAUAAUAUAUAUGAAUGAAACCACCUUAAUGGACACGCCAUUUUACAAAAGUGUCCCAAUUUAUUUAAAUUUUUCCAAUUGUCAACAUAGAUGAUUUUAUGGAUUGGAAAGUACUGUGCAGUUAUCAGUCCAGUCAUUCACUGGGUUUAUAUUAUUCCUGGGGUUUGGCUUUUAAUGGGUGUGGGGGGGGGGUAAUUACAAAAAUUGGACAGCAUAUACUUUUCUUUCUGUACUGUAUUCUAGUCAGUUAAGGUUGAUUUUGUUAGCUUUGAUAUUCUGGAUUUCUUGAGCCAGAUUUUAGUGUAAGCAUUCCAAUAACUUUUAUAUUUUUAUGUGGGUGGCUAGUAAGUGAAUACUUAAGAAUAUUGUUUGAUUUUUGUUUUAUAAAUCUCCGACUGCCUUUAAUAUAUUGUAAAUGAUGGUAUAUUAAAUAUUAUUUGUAAAAAUGUUAGAUUUUUUAUUUGCAAUUGAGGUAGUUUGAUGGUGUAUAGUGAACUUGAAAUAUUCUUUAUAAAACUUGCUGCAUUUUGAUAAACUUAAAAUUAUUGCCAUUAGUAGAAUGUAACACAAAUGCAGGAUUUAUAAGGUGCCUUUAAUCAUACAAAAGAGGGCAAUUGCAAUUUGAGAAAAUGGUUCACUAUAUCUUCAUCCAACAAGAUAUUUUUCCAUGAAAGUUUGUGUGGAAACCACUGCACAAUACGUGUAUUGAAGUUUUGUUGAAAAUAAAGUAUAUUUAUAGGACAUAAUAAAUAUUUUAAUGUA